Molecule: ribosomal RNA, 443 nt
Filed under: uncultured bacterium
Lineage: Bacteria
Description: bacterial SSU rRNA
Rfam family: Bacterial small subunit ribosomal RNA
Source: RNAcentral
UGGGGAAUAUUGGACAAUGGGCGGAAGCCUGAUCCAGCAACGCCGCGUGAGGGAUGACGGCCUUCGGGUUGUAAACCUCUUUCAGCACAGACGAAGUUUUGUCUUUUUGGGCGAAGUGACGGUAUGUGCAGAAGAAGGACCGGCCAACUACGUGCCAGCAGCCGCGGUAAUACGUAGGGUCCGAGCGUUGUCCGGAAUUAUUGGGCGUAAAGGGCUCGUAGGCGGUUUGUUGCGUCGGGAGUGAAAUCCCUGGGCUUAACCCAGGGCCUGCUUUCGAUACGGGCAGACUAGAGGCAUUCAGGGGAGAACGGAAUUCCUGGUGUAGCGGUGAAAUGCGCAGAUAUCAGGAGGAACACCGGUGGCGAAGGCGGUUCUCUGGGAAUGUUCUGACGCUGAGGAGCGAAAGUGUGGGGAGCGAACAGGAUUAGAUACCCCCGUAGUCC